Molecule: microRNA precursor, 121 nt
Organism: Equus caballus (horse)
Lineage: Eukaryota; Metazoa; Chordata; Mammalia; Perissodactyla; Equidae
Source: Ensembl
GAGUCCUGGGCCAUCUAGAGAGGCGGUAGUUACAGGCAUGGGUGUCUUUGGGGUCAGUCAGGCCUGGGUUUGCAUCCUGGCUCUCCCACUUAUUAGCUGUGUGAUCUUGGGCAAGUUUCUU